UUUAAGGGAGACCUACCCAACUUAUUGAUUCAAUUGCGAUUAGUAAAAAUAACAAUUGAGGUAAUAUCGGUAAGAUGGUCAUUCCUAAGGUCGUUCGAGGAUUGGCGUUUAAAAGCUUUCAAACUAUAAUUUCGGUUUAUUUAUGGUCAUGAUUUAGCACCUAAACAAAGGUUAGUUCGAGUUUAGAAUGCUGGGAUUAUUACCAGCCAGAACCAUGAAAACUGCAUAGUGACGCAAAAGUAAAGUAGGUAGCAAUCUAUUUACGACUGAAUAAUUUUCCGGUUGGCAACAACUUGGGGAUUGAUAAGUCAAAAUUUGAUUGAGUACGUAUAUAACAGACAAUUGAUUAAGAUUAAUU
Molecule: unclassified non-coding RNA, 358 nt
Filed under: Macrochaete lichenoides SAG 32.92
Lineage: Bacteria; Bacillati; Cyanobacteriota; Cyanophyceae; Nostocales; Calotrichaceae
Description: 16S-23S ribosomal RNA intergenic spacer
Source: RNAcentral